RNAcentral lists this ribosomal RNA (561 nucleotides) under Pristotis obtusirostris (gulf damselfish). Its description in RNAcentral is "partial 16S ribosomal RNA". It matches the Rfam family "Bacterial large subunit ribosomal RNA", at positions 1844 to 2597 of the family's 2925-position model. The record is from RNAcentral. Lineage: Eukaryota; Metazoa; Chordata; Actinopteri; Pomacentridae.
CAUAAGAGGUCCCGCCUGCCCGGUGACUGUUUGUUUAACGGCCGCGGUACUUUGACCGUGCGAAGGUAGCGCAAUCACUUGUCUUUUAAAUGAAGACCUGUAUGAAUGGCAUAACGAGGGCUUAACUGUCUCCUUUUUCUAGUCAAUGAAAUUGAUCUCCCCGUGCAGAAGCGGGGAUGAAUCCAUAAGACGAGAAGACCCUGUGGAGCUUUAGAUAACGGGUCAAUAUUAGCCCAAAGCCCCAAUCAAGGAAUUAAGCACUUACAUAAACUGACCUAACGUCUUCGGUUGGGGCGACCUCGGGGAACAAACCAUCCCCCGUGAGGAAUAAGAGGGACUCCCUCCUUGAACCAAGAGCUACCACUCAAAGUAACAGUAAUUCUGACCAACUAUAUGAUCCGGCCGCAAGCCGAUUAACGGACCAAGUUACCCCAGGGAUAACAGCGCAAUCCUCUUUUAGAGUUCAUAUCGACAAGAGGGUUUACGACCUCGAUGUUGGAUCAGGGCAUCCUAAUGGUGCAGCCGCUAUUAAGGGUUCGUUUGUUCAACGAUUAAAGUCCU